UACGAAGGGGGCUAGCGUUGUUCGGAAUUACUGGGCGUAAAGGGCGCGUAGGCGGCUGGUCAAGUCGGGAGUGAAAGCCCGGGGCUCAACCCCGGAAUGUCUUUCGAAACUGGCCAGCUUGAGUGCGGAAGAGGCAACUGGAAUUCCCAGUGUAGCGGUGAAAUGCGUAGAUAUUGGGAAGAACACCUGAGGCGAAGGCGGGUUGCUGGGCCGACACUGACGCUGAGGCGCGAAAGCCAGGGGAGCAAACGGG
RNAcentral lists this ribosomal RNA (253 nucleotides) under uncultured bacterium. RNAcentral's name for it is "partial 16S ribosomal RNA". It matches the Rfam family "Bacterial small subunit ribosomal RNA", at positions 524 to 776 of the family's 1533-position model. The record is from RNAcentral.